UAGCUGAUUUGCCACUUGAAAAUACAAAGUUAUUCACAGAAACAAGAAUUAUUUGAAUAUAUUUGAACUUGGGUCAAGAGAUGUAAACCUGAAAGAAACAGAAAAUAUUUUCCCUUGAACCUUUGAGAGCACACACUACAAAAAAAAUGGCUAUUACCUACGGUUAUUUAGCCACGGUUGCAAAAACCGUGGUAAACUUAAAUAAAAACUAUAAAUUUUUCAACGUAUAAAAAACGGACGCUAAAAUACCGUGGCAAAAUCAAGCGGGAAUUAAAAUUUUCACUGCCGCUUACUUUAUUUUCCAUUCCCCCCAUUUGUUUACCUUAUUAAUCUUUUUCUCUUUGAUUUUUAGUCCUCUCUUUCGAUAACAACAAGAAAACAAUAUCAGUUCGAGUGCUUCUUCUCCCAAAAUGACUAAGACAUCCCCUCCUUCGAGUAGUAGUGAAAUAUGGUGGAAUCGUUCUAGGCUGCUGUUGUUGCUUUUUCGAGCUGCUUUUGGGUCUUCAACCAAUGAGGAUUUUGAUGGGGAAAGAGAAUCUUUAGCUGAAAGUAAUUCGUUGUGCUCAAGAUUGUGUGCUUUCAUAGAUGAGAAUGAAAUCACAGAUGUCGUGACCAUCCCUCCAUCGGGGAGAGCACUUAAUGGAAGUUCAAAUAAAAAGCUUCUAGUACUUGAUUUGAAUAGACUCCUUGCUGAUAUUGUUCCACUUCAACAUGUGCCGUAUGGUCUCAAAGUGGAUGCCAUUAUUUUGGGGGAAAGAAGUUUUCAAAAGGCCUUUCCAUGAUGAUUUUCUGCAAUUCUGUUUUGAGAAAUUCAAUGUAGGUGUUUGGUCAUCGAGAAUAAGGAAGAAUGUGGAGUUGGUUCUUGAUCUUUUAUUGGGAAAUACCAAGGAAAAGUUGCUCUUCUGUUGGAAGGAAGAUUGUAGGACAUGGCCAAUGAGAAUGUCAUUGAGAAAACAGAGAUCUUAAGUUAGACAAAUAAAACUAAGCUGAAUUCUUGGAGGUAAAUUCAAAGGAUUAUGCAUCUUGGAUGGCUGCAGGGUGGAUAUUAUAAUUUGGACGAUGUAGGAAAAUGCCUAUCAAUUAUGUAUUGUUACCAGAAAAAUGUAGGAAAAUAAUAAUUAUUUUUUUUAAAAUGAAAUACUUUUGCCACGGUUUUAACCAUGGCUAAUUUUUCUAAUGAAUUGAACAAAUUAGCCACGGUUCUUGUAUGUCUAAUUCAAAUUGAUUUUUCUUUCUCCUUUA
This is an RNA transcript of Capsicum annuum, 1242 nucleotides long. RefSeq lists it as uncharacterized. Lineage: Eukaryota; Viridiplantae; Streptophyta; Magnoliopsida; Solanales; Solanaceae. The record is from RefSeq and is a predicted model, not a curated record. The transcript has 6 exons.